AUUGAACGCUGGCGGCAGGCCUAACACAUGCAAGUCGAGCGGAGCGGCGGACGGGUGAGUAAUACCUAGAAAUCUGCCUGGUCGUGGGGGAUAAAGUUCUGAAACAGACGCUAGUUACGACUGCUAGCAGUUGAGCCAAGGUCGGAUGAGCUAGUUGGUGAGGUAAUUGCUCACCAAGGCUACGAGCCGUAACUGGUCUGAGAGGGUGAUCAGCCACAGUGGAACUGAUACACGGUCCAGACUCCUACGGGAGGCAGGAGUGGGGAAUAUUGGACAAUGGGCGAAAGCCUGAUGCAGCGAGGCCGCGUGUGGGAAGAAGGUCGUCGGAUUGUAAAGUACUUUCAGUCGGGAGGCGUUACCGACAGAAGAAGCACCGGCUAACUCAGUGCCAGCCGCCGCGGUAAUAC
RNAcentral lists this ribosomal RNA (407 nucleotides) under uncultured bacterium. RNAcentral describes it as "partial 16S ribosomal RNA". It matches the Rfam family "Bacterial small subunit ribosomal RNA", at positions 30 to 526 of the family's 1533-position model. The record is from RNAcentral.